GACGAACGCUGGCGGCGUGCUUAACACAUGCAAGUCGAACGGAAAGGCCCUGCUUGCAGGGUACUCGAGUGGCGAACGGGUGAGUAACACGUAGGUGAUCUGCCCUGCACUUCGGGAUAAGCUUGGGAAACUGGGUCUAAUACCGGAUAGGAACCAUCUUUAGUGUGGUGGUUGGAAAGUUUUUUCGGUGUAGGAUGAGCUCGCGGCCUAUCAGCUUGUUGGUGGGGUAAUGGCCUACCAAGGCGGCGACGGGUAGCCGGCCUGAGAGGGUGUACGGCCACAUUGGGACUGAGAUACGGCCCAGACUCCUACGGGAGGCAGCAGUGGGGAAUAUUGCACAAUGGGCGCAAGCCUGAUGCAGCGACGCCGCGUGGGGGAUGAAGGCCUUCGGGUUGUAAACUCCUUUCGCUAGGGACGAAGCUUUUUGUGACGGUACCUAGAGAAGAAGCACCGGCUAACUACGUG
RNAcentral lists this ribosomal RNA (465 nucleotides) under uncultured bacterium. RNAcentral's name for it is "partial 16S ribosomal RNA". It matches the Rfam family "Bacterial small subunit ribosomal RNA", at positions 28 to 507 of the family's 1533-position model. The record is from RNAcentral.